This 465-nucleotide ribosomal RNA is filed under the name Vreelandella stevensii. RNAcentral describes it as "partial 16S ribosomal RNA". It matches the Rfam family "Bacterial small subunit ribosomal RNA", at positions 338 to 795 of the family's 1533-position model. Lineage: Bacteria; Pseudomonadati; Pseudomonadota; Gammaproteobacteria; Oceanospirillales; Halomonadaceae. The record is from RNAcentral.
CCUACGGGAGGCAGCAGUGGGGAAUAUUGGACAAUGGGGGCAACCCUGAUCCAGCCAUGCCGCGUGUGUGAAGAAGGCCCUCGGGUUGUAAAGCACUUUCAGUGAGGAAGAACGCCUGGUGGUUAAUACCCAUCAGGAAAGACAUCACUCACAGAAGAAGCACCGGCUAACUCCGUGCCAGCAGCCGCGGUAAUACGGAGGGUGCGAGCGUUAAUCGGAAUUACUGGGCGUAAAGCGCGCAUAGGUGGCUUGAUAAGCCGGUUGUGAAAGCCCCGGGCUCAACCUGGGAACGGCAUCCGGAACUGUCAAGCUAGAGUGCAGGAGAGGAAGGUAGAAUUCCCGGUGUAGCGGUGAAAUGCGUAGAGAUCGGGAGGAAUACCAGUGGCGAAGGCGGCCUUCUGGACUGACACUGACACUGAGGUGCGAAAGCGUGGGUAGCAAACAGGAUUAGAUACCCCUGUAGUC